GUGAUUUAAUUUUAAUGCAGGAUGCAAAAUCCAUGUCACAAUGAAAAAAUGUUGAGCGAUCAAAGACAAAAAGCUAAAUAACAUUCAUUUAACAUAUGUUGUUCAUUUAAUCACCAGUAAAUGCAUCCAUAAAAACAAAAUACAUGUGGCAACCUGUGUUGUAUUUAUCUUUAUUUCAGGCAUUUCAAAUUUUCCAUACAAAGGAGCCCAAACCAUGAAAACCAUCCAGGGAACAAAAAAUACACCAAGGAGAAACGUCCUGGACGAGACGGUGCUUAUCGGCUGGAUCUUCAGCAGGACGACAAAGGACGUACAAACGCUGCAACACAGAGAUGAACAAGAUGAGUGAGACCUUUCCAGUGGACUUGACACCUUUCCAGAUACUGAAGUAGCAGACCACCCAACAGGCAAGAAGACACAGAGCCAGCUCCCAUCUCACACUGCCCAGCUCCUCAAUGCCUCCAGACAUGGCCAACACACGUCGUCUGAGUAGAGGACAAGUUUAAGAGUGGACACAGUUUCCUCCAGCAGGUGAUGAAUCCUUCCUGGGUGUACUGACCACUUGAAGUCUCCAGCAGGAACAGAGGAAUCCCACAC
Seriola aureovittata is the source of this 597-nucleotide long non-coding RNA. RefSeq lists it as uncharacterized. NCBI's taxonomy places the organism in Eukaryota, Metazoa, Chordata, Actinopteri, Carangiformes, Carangidae. The transcript is spliced from 5 exons. The record is from RefSeq and is a predicted model, not a curated record.